UGCUCCCUGACCUCCAUCAGCACUUGGGUUUUCGAGGCAUUGAGGGGGGCAUAGUUGCGAAAUCUUUCUGGUGGAGAACCCCGUCGAACUCUGCGGUCCGGACUUCUCUGCCUAUGUACCCGGGGAGGAGUAUGGACAUGCUUGUGCCCGGGAGGAGUUCGAGAACGUGGCCGAGCUUCUUUCGGCCCUUUUUCGACUGCGAGCUUACUCGAGUCUCCCGCCUGCCGCUCUCUCGCAGUCUCCUCAUCCUUCAUUUUGAAGGCUUCUUCUGCUCGGGCGUACCCUUCGGCCCGAGCCAACAGAUCAGCAAAA
RNAcentral lists this long non-coding RNA (312 nucleotides) under Elaeis guineensis (African oil palm). RNAcentral describes it as "long non-coding RNA (EGUI_LNC082244)". Lineage: Eukaryota; Viridiplantae; Streptophyta; Magnoliopsida; Arecales; Arecaceae. The record is from RNAcentral.